CAUUCUCGUACUCAGGGUUUAUUCCCACCUGUUGCAGAUGACAUCUUUUAUGACGGUUUCUGCAAGACCUGUCUCCAUCCCGCUGGGGAUGAGGACUAACCGUUGGGCACGGUUCUCUAACAACCUCGUACCUGUUGCUUUUGGAAGGAUGGUGUAGACUCUGGCAAUAACCAAAAACUUGUGAACUGAGCUUUGAACAAGUGUGUGUAAUUAUUUUGCUUCCGCUACUUCGAACUUGUGUUGUAAUAACUUAAUAACUCCGAUGUGGUGCCGCUUCGACGGCAAUGAAUGACUAUGUAACAUUCGUUGUGUUUAUGUUGAACUAUUACGAUCUUGGUUUGUUGCGAGUUGGUUUGAAGUCCUUCGUGAUUUCAAUUGACUACUGGGAUUAUAUGGGCUCAAGUUUGGAAACUUGAUUGCUUGUCGAUCGUUUCUACACUUGAACUCUUAUAAUUUGGUCGGUUCUGUGACAGCAAGAAUAAAAAAAAUAAAAGAAUAUAAAAAUUAAGAAAAGAUAAAAGUAUAGAUACAAGCUAGUAGUAAGACUCAAGGUUAUCUAAGCAAACCGUCUUUCUCCCCGGCAACGGCGCCAGAAAUGCUUGUUGAUAUUUGGUAACGCAAUAAGGAAUUGAUCCGCAAGCGCAAGGAUAUCGGUGAGCACUUCACCUGGGAUGUUAUCCAGAGUAUCGUAUUUAUAUUUUUUACCACUAGGAGAAAGAGUGCAUCUAACUAACCCGGUCUAUUACUACUAACCUUUAGGCUACAAAGAAUGUUUCUCGAUGUGAAUGAUGUAUAGAGAAGACUACAACCGUAGUCUUGUUCUAACCUUGGUAAGGUUGAUCUACUGUUUUAUUGGGGAGGCUCACGGAAUCUAGACACCACAGAGGAUGUUCAACCCGCACCUAUAAACCCUAUCGAUCCUACUAACGGGAUAUAGGCUGCAAAUAUAACUCAAAAAUGUCACGUUUACGCUAGAGAUGAUUACUCUAAACUCUACACGAAGAGAUCAAAGUAAACUCAUAAACCAAAGAACAUUAAAACAAAGAACUUACUAGAAUUUAGAAGUCGAAAUACUGAAGAAUCCUAAGAGUAAGCCUCGGGUCAGAAGACUUGAUCCCGCAGGUACAACCUCGAAGUAGACACUGAUAGGCCGGGCUUCCUCCGAUCUACACCUCCACUCUAUCUCUCUAAAUCUAGUAGAUCUAGUCUACUCUCACAUUGGAUGCUAAGCCCUAAGUCUAUUUAAAGGAAAGGUUAUCCUUCGAGGGCACCUCUCAACUCUAUGAUGAACUUCUCCUCCUCCAGGGGCCAGGGGGUCUGCUUAUAUAGUCCCCUCAGGUGAACGUGGGCCGUCGGAUCAAACCGACAUUGAUUGAACGGUUAUCCUUGAUCCUUU
Molecule: long non-coding RNA, 1396 nt
Filed under: Sorghum bicolor (sorghum)
Lineage: Eukaryota; Viridiplantae; Streptophyta; Magnoliopsida; Poales; Poaceae
Description: long non-coding RNA (SBIC_LNC005399)
Source: RNAcentral